This 423-nucleotide ribosomal RNA is filed under the name Marinobacter sp. Ar-100. RNAcentral describes it as "bacterial SSU rRNA". It matches the Rfam family "Bacterial small subunit ribosomal RNA", at positions 65 to 479 of the family's 1533-position model. The record is from RNAcentral. Lineage: Bacteria; Pseudomonadati; Pseudomonadota; Gammaproteobacteria; Pseudomonadales; Marinobacteraceae.
AGCGGUAACAGGGGGAGCUUGCUCCCCGCUGACGAGCGGCGGACGGGUGAGUAAUGCAUAGGAAACUGCCCAGUAGUGGGGGAUAGCCCGGGGAAACCCGGAUUAAUACCGCAUACGCCCUUUGGGGGAAAGCAGGGGAUCUUCGGACCUUGCGCUAUUGGAUGUGCCUAUGUCGGAUUAGCUAGUUGGUGGGGUAAGAGCCUACCAAGGCGACGAUCCGUAGCUGGUCUGAGAGGAUGAUCAGCCACAUCGGGACUGAGACACGGCCCGAACUCCUACGGGAGGCAGCAGUGGGGAAUAUUGGACAAUGGGGGCAACCCUGAUCCAGCCAUGCCGCGUGUGUGAAGAAGGCUUUCGGGUUGUAAAGCACUUUCAGUGAGGAGGAAAACCUUACGACUAAUACUCGUGAGGCUUGACGUUACU